CACACACACACACACACCACCAGUCUUGCGCUACGCUGACACGCAUCAGUACCACAAUCACUGGCGACGGGGUUUUGGGUCUAUCUCGCUGCCCAACAAACGUGAAAGUUGUUCUUGUAAUACGACAAAGACAUCCCUUGAAGUCAGCAGUGAGACAUGUACUACCCGACGGAGGGACGGUAUCCUGAAGAACCAAGUCCAUACCCAGAGGACGUUCCGGACUCCUGGCCACACCAUCCAACACUGCAAGACCAAUACAGACUAUGGUGGAGCAGAGAGUGCAGGCAGCAGGUACACCAGCAGCAGUGUGUGGACGCAGGCAACACCAG
Molecule: non-coding RNA, 329 nt
Organism: Cherax quadricarinatus
Lineage: Eukaryota; Metazoa; Arthropoda; Malacostraca; Decapoda; Parastacidae
Source: RefSeq, a predicted model, not a curated record